UUCAUCCUUUCGCAAGCCCCUCUGGUUUUGUGUAAUUGCGCGCUUUGGUGAGCCCCUUGAACGGGCGAACUUAGCGAACUGUCAAGCUAGUUGUCAACAACAUGCUUGUUUACAAAUAUUGAAAGACUCUGCUGCUUGCAGCGAGAUCAAUAAGGCAAUCGGAGUAGAAUCUCGGAACACCGGGAAAAAGGAACCUCCGGAAAGCUUCGAUACGGCUACGGGGGGAACGACAGACCUUUUUUGAUCCGGAUAACAUAGCGGCAUUCGUGGAGUACGUGAAACAGGAAGGCUGGGAGCGGAUCUGAUCUGCUCAUGUGUGACGGAGGGUUCUUCGCAAAGAACAAAAGUGACUGGCAGGAGAUCAUUUCCAAGCUGCUGUAGUUGUGUUUGGUGCUGCUGGCAGUGGCGGUGAUCCGACCAGGAAACGCUAUUCUGAAGGUGUUUAAUGUGUACACUCCGUCAGUGUCGGUUUGGUGUACAUUCUGACCUAAUCCUACGGAAAAGUUAAGCAAAUUUCCGUAAGGUCGACCAACUCGGAGCAAUAUCUAGUUUCACAAAAUCGGUUGAACAGGGAGUCUGUUCGCAAGGUAUCGGACAUCGAUAAACUAGGCUCUGUGGGAGGAAAAACAUAGCGAUUUCCUGAUUUUCCCGAAGACAAUAGAAAAGGACAGUUUUUUCAACUUCUUUUGGUCCGUUGACAGAUCCAGCCAUGAACUAAAGGACUUUAACGGCAACUAUUUCGGAGGCUUAAUUCGUCAAUCAGAAAUCCGAAUCGAACGAUCGUUUCAUGGACGCUGUGGCGUCACUGAAAGUUGCAACAAAAAACGCGUCUCGCCGACGGAUGGAUUCGAGAUUUGUGCGCCAGGCCAGCGUAAGAAUGUUCGGAACGACCGCGGAUGCCGAUGGAUGUAACGGCCGACCAGGGUAAACGCAUUCGGACGGUGUUUCUGAGUAAUGUGUUCUACUACGAUCGGGAUAGGUUGGACGCAAAUUAGGAACCUUCAAGUGAUUCUAUCGCCGCGGAGGGUUUUAUAUGGGGAAAUUGGAUUAAAGUUCUGCCGAGGAUGAAAAGAAAAAAACCGAUACAAUGCAUCUGGUGUGUCUGGAACUCUGGUAAAUCGUGGUCCACCACUCGACAAACGGAAAAUCCACUGCAGCAAGUUCGUCAAAGCCAAGAUCGACCACUGGUCCAUCAAAAUGCUUCCGUUGUUCGGUCGGUCCCGGUUGGGCGCAUGCCGUACCACUGGUUCUUCGUGCGGAGUGUGCUGACCAGUUCGAAGUGAGUCGAGAAGCAGUUGGAUUUUGGGAAGGCUUUUGGCAGCCGGAUCCUGUGGGCCUGAAACCAAACCAGCCAGAUCUACUCGUCGGCGCAGCGGUUCGAGGCGCCCAAAGAACCAACCAUGGUCUACCGGCAGGAUAUCAAUGAGCUUAUUGAGAAAUGCGCUUAUAAAAAGUGAGUAAUAGUGCAUAAUAGUUUUGGAAGCAAACUAUGCAGUUUUUGAAUUAGUAGAGGUUCAGUAUUUAUUGCUCAUUUCCCACCCCACUGGACACCUUUCGCGGUUAGUAUAAGUGCGGGAUCGUGAAUAAAACUGCGAUUUUGCAUCGAACCCAUUUGGUGUCUUCUGUGCACUUUUCAGCACUUUGUAAUGCAUCAGUGCGCAUAAGACUCCGACACGAUUCGAUGCAACAUCGCAGUUUUAUUUACGUUCCCGCACUUAUACUAAUCGCGAAAGGGGUCCAGUAGGGUGGGAAAUGCGCAAUAUUAGAUAUGAUUUUGUUGUGCGAUCAGAUGUUCUCGAUAUAAAUGUUGUUAGAUACUCUACUUCCCUUACCAAGUGAACAAAUGGCCAUUAUGUCAACCGAUUGUACUAUACACCAUUACGGAAUUUCAGUCCCGAUUACCCAUGGUGGUGUGGAGGGUCGAAAAUAAAAAAUUG
Molecule: long non-coding RNA, 1937 nt
Organism: Aedes albopictus (Asian tiger mosquito)
Lineage: Eukaryota; Metazoa; Arthropoda; Insecta; Diptera; Culicidae
Exons: 3
Source: RefSeq, a predicted model, not a curated record